UAUUUGCAGUGUAGUUGGCC
Molecule: unclassified non-coding RNA, 20 nt
Filed under: Mus musculus (house mouse)
Lineage: Eukaryota; Metazoa; Chordata; Mammalia; Rodentia; Muridae
Description: oocyte_clustered_small_RNA10013
Source: RNAcentral